AACGAACGCUGGCGGCAUGCCUAACACAUGCAAGUCGAACGAGACCUUCGGGUCUAGUGGCGCACGGGUGCGUAACGCGUGGGAACCUGCCCUUAGGUUCGGAAUAACUCCCCGAAAGGGGUGCUAAUACCGGAUAAUGUCUUCGGACCAAAGAUUUAUCGCCUUUGGAUGGGCCCGCGUUGGAUUAGCUAGUUGGUAGGGUAAAAGCCUACCAAGGCGGCGAUCCAUAGCUGGUCUGAGAGGAUGAUCAGCCACACUGGGACUGAGACACGGCCCAGACUCCUACGGGAGGCAGCAGUGGGGAAUAUUGGACAAUGGGCGAAAGCCUGAUCCAGCAAUGCCGCGUGAGUGAUGAAGGCCUUAAGGUUGUAAAGCUCUUUUACCCGGGAUGAUAAUGACAGUACCGGGAGAAUAAGCUCCGGCUAACUCCGUG
RNAcentral lists this ribosomal RNA (433 nucleotides) under uncultured bacterium. Its description in RNAcentral is "partial 16S ribosomal RNA". It matches the Rfam family "Bacterial small subunit ribosomal RNA", at positions 29 to 507 of the family's 1533-position model. The record is from RNAcentral.